UUUAAUUGUGACGUAACGUCCGGUGGAGCUGUUGGCGGGCAGAACCAUAACGGGAGUGGGUUUAGGGUCAUUGUGUGAUUCAACAGCAAAGCUUUUUUCAGAAGUGGUUAUCCAAAGCACGCCACUAAGACCUUGGAUAGUUUUGUGUCACCGCGUGCUCGUCUUUGACCUGUGCCCGUCUGCAGCAGACGUCAAAUUUCAGUGCUUUCACUGGGGCCUUCCUCACGCCCAUCGCAACAUUUUCAGAGAAGGAGAGCUCAGCAGACGUCAAGCUGGCGACCGUAGCAGGAAAGAAGGCCAAGAAGGCUGAGGAGGAC
Monopterus albus (swamp eel) is the source of this 317-nucleotide long non-coding RNA. RefSeq lists it as uncharacterized. The record is from RefSeq and is a predicted model, not a curated record. The transcript has 2 exons. Lineage: Eukaryota; Metazoa; Chordata; Actinopteri; Synbranchiformes; Synbranchidae.